GUGUUCGUUGAAAGGAGAGAUAUCUGGCAUCUAGCCUGACAGGGAAAGGAACAGCCAUAGGGCGUAGGUUAAGGCUAUACUCAGUUCCGUGGAUCUAUAACCCCCAAUUUUA
Molecule: non-coding RNA, 112 nt
Filed under: Macleaya cordata
Lineage: Eukaryota; Viridiplantae; Streptophyta; Magnoliopsida; Ranunculales; Papaveraceae
Source: RNAcentral